This is a non-coding RNA of Escherichia coli O157:H7, 32 nucleotides long. The record is from Rfam. NCBI's taxonomy places the organism in Bacteria, Pseudomonadati, Pseudomonadota, Gammaproteobacteria, Enterobacterales, Enterobacteriaceae.
AUUUUUUAUUUUCCUCAUGGAGAAUCGMUAUG